RNAcentral lists this small RNA (478 nucleotides) under Pongo abelii (Sumatran orangutan). RNAcentral describes it as "processed transcript". The record is from RNAcentral. Lineage: Eukaryota; Metazoa; Chordata; Mammalia; Primates; Hominidae.
GCCUCCGCCUGUGUCUUCUGCAGUGAUUUUAACCAAGGCCGUUGGUGGAAAUGAGGACCCUCCUUGCCUGGUGUCAUUUCUUGAGCUCUCCUGGGAGGAGAUUAGUCUAAAACAACAAAGUAGCCAGAUGUCUGGUUCUGAGAGAGUCCCAGAGGCCAGGCUAUGGUAGGCAACAGAAACCGCGUGGGGCUGAAGAUCAAAGAUACCUGAGAAUUACUUAUGGGCACAUAGUAUGUGUCAUUCCCAUUAUUAACAGUCUGAGAAAAUUUGUUUCCCUAAUUAACCCUUUUGUUGGAAUAACCUUAAAUUUUAGUGAGUAUAUUUCUGUUUUGAUAUGUUUUCUUUUAUGUAGUAUUAAGUGCACACACCAAAAAAGAGAAAUGAAAAGGUACUCUCAUGCUUGAUUGAAAUCUCUAAGCCGUUAUUCUUCUCCCAAAUAGAUACGCUAUCAAGUGUGUUAUCAUUUAUCAUGAAAUGA